RNAcentral lists this ribosomal RNA (224 nucleotides) under uncultured Geobacillus sp. RNAcentral describes it as "partial 16S ribosomal RNA". It matches the Rfam family "Bacterial small subunit ribosomal RNA", at positions 1157 to 1382 of the family's 1533-position model. Lineage: Bacteria; Bacillati; Bacillota; Bacilli; Caryophanales; Anoxybacillaceae. The record is from RNAcentral.
GACAAGUCGGAGGAAGUGGGAUGACGUCAAAUCAUCAUGCCCCUUAUGACCUGGGCUACACACGUGCUACAAUGGGCGGUACGAAGGGCUGCGAACCGCGAGGGGGAGCGAAUCCCAAAAAGCCGCUCUCAGUUCGGAUUGCAGGCUGCAACUCGCCUGCAUGAAGCCGGAAUCGCUAGUAAUCGCGGAUCAGCAUGCCGCGGUCGAAUACGUUCCCGGGCCUU